Molecule: ribosomal RNA, 1673 nt
Filed under: Salmonella enterica
Lineage: Bacteria; Pseudomonadati; Pseudomonadota; Gammaproteobacteria; Enterobacterales; Enterobacteriaceae
Description: partial 23S ribosomal RNA
Rfam family: Bacterial large subunit ribosomal RNA
Source: RNAcentral
UUACGGAGUUGACGAUUGACGGAGCGAAGCGACGUCAAAGCGUUCAUUAAAGUCGAGUUGGCUUAGGGAUACGUUCGUUGGGUAGGGGAGCGUUCUGUAAGCCUGUGAAGGUGUGUCGUGAGGCAUGCUGGAGGUAUCAGAAGUGCGAAUGCUGACAUAAGUAACGAUAAAGCGGGUGAAAAGCCCGCUCGCCGGAAGACCAAGGGUUCCUGUCCAACGUUAAUCGGGGCAGGGUGAGUCGACCCCUAAGGCGAGGCCGAAAGGCGUAGUCGAUGGGAAACGGGUUAAUAUUCCCGUACUUGGUGUUACUGCGAAGGGGGGACGGAGAAGGCUAUGUUGGCCGGGCGACGGUUGUCCCGGUUUAAGCGUGUAGGUGUGUGUUCCAGGUAAAUCCGGUUCACUUUAACACUGAGGCGUGACGACGAGGCACUACGGUGCUGAAGCAACAAAUGCCCUGCUUCCAGGAAAAGCCUCUAAGCAUCAGGUAACAUCAAAUCGUACCCCAAACCGACACAGGUGGUCAGGUAGAGAAUACCAAGGCGCUUGAGAGAACUCGGGUGAAGGAACUAGGCAAAAUGGUGCCGUAACUUCGGGAGAAGGCACGCUGACACGUAGGUGAAGUGAUUUACUCAUGGAGCUGAAGUCAGUCGAAGAUACCAGCUGGCUGCAACUGUUUAUUAAAAACACAGCACUGUGCAAACACGAAAGUGGACGUAUACGGUGUGACGCCUGCCCGGUGCCGGAAGGUUAAUUGAUGGGGUCAGCGCAAGCGAAGCUCCUGAUCGAAGCCCCGGUAAACGGCGGCCGUAACUAUAACGGUCCUAAGGUAGCGAAAUUCCUUGUCGGGUAAGUUCCGACCUGCACGAAUGGCGUAAUGAUGGCCAGGCUGUCUCCACCCGAGACUCAGUGAAAUUGAACUCGCUGUGAAGAUGCAGUGUACCCGCGGCAAGACGGAAAGACCCCGUGAACCUUUACUAUAGCUUGACACUGAACAUUGAGCCUUGAUGUGUAGGAUAGGUGGGAGGCUUUGAAGCGUGGACGCCAGUCUGCGUGGAGCCGACCUUGAAAUACCACCCUUUAAUGUUUGAUGUUCUAACGUGGACCCGUAAUCCGGGUUGCGGACAGUGUCUGGUGGGUAGUUUGACUGGGGCGGUCUCCUCCUAAAGAGUAACGGAGGAGCACGAAGGUUGGCUAAUCCUGGUCGGACAUCAGGAGGUUAGUGCAAUGGCAUAAGCCAGCUUGACUGCGAGCGUGACGGCGCGAGCAGGUGCGAAAGCAGGUCAUAGUGAUCCGGUGGUUCUGAAUGGAAGGGCCAUCGCUCAACGGAUAAAAGGUACUCCGGGGAUAACAGGCUGAUACCGCCCAAGAGUUCAUAUCGACGGCGGUGUUUGGCACCUCGAUGUCGGCUCAUCACAUCCUGGGGCUGAAGUAGGUCCCAAGGGUAUGGCUGUUCGCCAUUUAAAGUGGUACGCGAGCUGGGUUUAGAACGUCGUGAGACAGUUCGGUCCCUAUCUGCCGUGGGCGCUGGAGAACUGAGGGGGGCUGCUCCUAGUACGAGAGGACCGGAGUGGACGCAUCACUGGUGUUCGGGUUGUCAUGCCAAUGGCACUGCCCGGUAGCUAAAUGCGGAAGAGAUAAGUGCUGAAAGCAUCUAAGCACGAAACUUGCCCCGA